RNAcentral lists this ribosomal RNA (274 nucleotides) under uncultured bacterium. Its description in RNAcentral is "partial 16S ribosomal RNA". It matches the Rfam family "Bacterial small subunit ribosomal RNA", at positions 523 to 796 of the family's 1533-position model. The record is from RNAcentral.
AUACGGAGGGUGCGAGCGUUAAUCGGAAUUACUGGGCGUAUAGCGCGCGUAGGCGGUUCGAUAAGUCUGAUGUGAAAGCCCUGGGCUCAACCCAGGAAUUGCAUUUGAAACUGUUGGUCUAGAGUGGUGGAGAGGGAAGUGGAAUUCCUGGUGUAGAGGUGAAAUUCGUAGAUAUCAGGAGGAACACCGGUGGCGAAGGCGGCUUCCUGGACACCUACUGACGCUGAGGUGCGAAAGCGUGGGGAGCAAACAGGAUUAGAAACCCCAGUAGUCC